Molecule: ribosomal RNA, 214 nt
Filed under: Salmonella enterica subsp. enterica serovar Infantis
Lineage: Bacteria; Pseudomonadati; Pseudomonadota; Gammaproteobacteria; Enterobacterales; Enterobacteriaceae
Description: partial 16S ribosomal RNA
Source: RNAcentral
AAAUUGAAGAGUUUGAUCAUGGCUCAGAUUGAACGCUGGCGGCAGGCCUAACACAUGCAAGUCGAACGGUAACAGGAAGCAGCUUGCUGCUUUGCUGACGAGUGGCGGACGGGUGAGUAAUGUCUGGGAAACUGCCUGAUGGAGGGGGAUAACUACUGGAAACGGUGGCUAAUACCGCAUARCGUCGCAAGACCAAAGAGGGGGACCUUCGGGC